UCUCCGUAGGUGAACCUGCGGAGGGAUCAUUACAAGUUGACCCCGGCCCUCGGGCCGGGAUGUUCACAACCCUUUGUUGUCCGACUCUGUUGCCUCCGGGGCGACCCUGCCUCCGGGCGGGGGCCCCGGGUGGACAUUUCAAACUCUUGCGUAACUUUGCAGUCUGUUAGGGGGGCUGUCUUGGCUCUUCUCUCAACAACAUGGUGUGUUAUCCAACCGAUUGCACUAUGCAUCAACACCUCCAAUAUGACUGAGUAUAAAAACAAAAGGACUGGUAAAAAGGUUCUUGAGUUGUAAUAUAAACAAAAACAACUCUCAGCAACGGAUAUCUUGGCUCUC
This 339-nucleotide unclassified non-coding RNA is filed under the name soil metagenome. Its description in RNAcentral is "partial contains small subunit ribosomal RNA, internal transcribed spacer 1, and 5.8S ribosomal RNA". The record is from RNAcentral.